UGGGGGAUAUUGCACAAUGUGCGAAAGCCUGAUGCAGCGACGCCGCGUGGUGGAUGAAGGCCUUCGGGUUGUAAACUUCUUUUGCUCUGAACAAGGCGCACCAUGGGGUGUGUUGAGUGUAGGGGUUGAUUAGCGCCGGCUAACUACGUGCCAGCAGCCGCGGUAAUACGUAGGGCGCGAGCGUUGUCCGGAAUUAUUGGGCGUAAAGGGCUUGUAGGUGGCUGGUUGCGUCUGUCGUGAAAGCUCAUGGCUUAACUGUGGGUUUGCGGUGGGUACGGGCUGGCUUGAGUGCAGUAGGGGAGGCUGGAAUUCCUGGUGUAGCGGUGGAAUGCGCAGAUAUCAGGAGGAAUACCGGUGGCGAAGGCGGGUCUCUGGGCUGUUACUGACACUGAGGAGCGAAAGCAUGGGGAGCGAACAGG
RNAcentral lists this ribosomal RNA (419 nucleotides) under bacterium. RNAcentral describes it as "partial 16S ribosomal RNA". It matches the Rfam family "Bacterial small subunit ribosomal RNA", at positions 355 to 776 of the family's 1533-position model. The record is from RNAcentral.